AGCGGGAAGAGCUCAAAUUUAUAAUCUGGCACCUUCGGUGUCCGAGUUGUAAUCUCUAGAAGUGUUUUCCGCGUUGGACCGCACACAAGUCUGUUGGAAUACAGCGGCAUAGUGGUGAAACCCCCGUAUAUGGUGCGGACGCCCAGCGCUUUGUGAUACACUUUCAAUGAGUCGAGUUGUUUGGGAAUGCAGCUCAAAUUGGGUGGUAAAUUCCAUCUAAAGCUAAAUAUUGGCGAGAGACCGAUAGCGAACAAGUACCGUGAGGGAAAGAUGAAAAGCACUUUGGAAAGAGAGUUAACAGUACGUGAAAUUGUUGGAAGGGAAACGCUUGAAGUCAGACUUGCUUGCCGGAGCUUGCUUCGGUUUGCAGGCCAGCAUCAGUUUUCCGGGGUGGAUAAUGACGGUUUGAAGGUAGCAGUCUCGGCUGUGUUAUAGCUUUCCGUUGGAUACAUCCUGGGGGACUGAGGAACGCAGCGUGCUUUUUGCGAAAGACUCGUCUUUUUCACGCUUAGGAUGCUGGUGGAAUGGCUUUAAACGACCCGUCUUG
Molecule: ribosomal RNA, 547 nt
Filed under: Rhodotorula glutinis
Lineage: Eukaryota; Fungi; Basidiomycota; Microbotryomycetes; Sporidiobolales; Sporidiobolaceae
Description: eukaryotic LSU rRNA
Rfam family: Eukaryotic large subunit ribosomal RNA
Source: RNAcentral